ACGAACGCUGGCGGCAUGCCUCACACAUGCAAGUCGAACGAGACCUUCGGGUCUAGUGGCGCACGGGUGCGUAACGCGUGGGAACCUGCCCUUAGGUUCGGAAUAACUCCCCGAAAGGGGUGAUAAUACCGGAUAAUGUCUUCGGACCAAAGAUUUAUCGCCUUUGGAUGGGCCCGCGUUGGAUUAGCUAGUUGGUAGGGUAAAAGCCUACCAAGGCGACGAUCCAUAGCUGGUCUGAGAGGAUGAUCAGCCACACUGGGACUGAGACACGGCCCAGACUCCUACGGGAGGCAGCAGUGGGGAAUAUUGGACAAUGGGCGAAAGCCUGAUCCAGCAAUGCCGCGUGAGUGAUGAAGGCCUUAGGGUUGUAAAGCUCUUUUACCCGGGAUGAUAAUGACAGUACCGGGAGAAUAAGCUCCGGCUAACUCCGUG
RNAcentral lists this ribosomal RNA (432 nucleotides) under uncultured bacterium. Its description in RNAcentral is "partial 16S ribosomal RNA". It matches the Rfam family "Bacterial small subunit ribosomal RNA", at positions 29 to 507 of the family's 1533-position model. The record is from RNAcentral.